Molecule: long non-coding RNA, 336 nt
Filed under: Brassica napus (rape)
Lineage: Eukaryota; Viridiplantae; Streptophyta; Magnoliopsida; Brassicales; Brassicaceae
Description: long non-coding RNA (BNAP_LNC020445)
Source: RNAcentral
AAACCCUAAACCAUAAACCCUAAACCAUAAACCAUAAACCCUAAACCGUAAACACUAAUACUUAAACCCUAAACCGUAAACACUUGGGUUGCCAUCAAACCAAGUGCUUAUAUACGGAUCAGUUUACACUUGUUACUACCGUGGUUUUUAAAUAAAGUUAUCAUAACCCAUCCAACAACAACCGGAUUUCCAUUCAGAUAACCGGUUACGUUUCUGUUUAUAAGGUCAACUUGUACUAUAUCCGGGUAGUGGAAGUUAUCUAACCGGUAUCGAAUAAUAUUUUUAGGACAAUUACUUAUGUGACAGUACGGAUAUACCCUAAACCCUAAAACCUAA